Pygocentrus nattereri (red-bellied piranha) is the source of this 417-nucleotide long non-coding RNA. RefSeq lists it as uncharacterized. The record is from RefSeq and is a predicted model, not a curated record. Lineage: Eukaryota; Metazoa; Chordata; Actinopteri; Characiformes; Serrasalmidae. The transcript is spliced from 3 exons.
GCGUCGUUUUGCAUCGGAUUACUUGUAGCGAGCAGUUGGACAACAGUGAGCAGUGGAUCUGGAGUCUGUUAAAUGAAGCAGGUUCAAUUCAGACAGGCAACACUGUGUGGUGAGAAAGACCCCUCAAUCGAGAAUGCUGAGAAGUUCCAGAUGAUCACAGAAAAAAAUGCAGCAGGGGUUCCAUGGACAACAGGAACUUUGCAUCAGUGGCACGGAGUGGAUAGGGCAAAGCAGCAGAGUCUGAAAUGAAACUGGGCUACUGUGUUGGCAAAACCAUGCCACAUCACUGGAUUGACUGUGUGCUUUUGUUUUUUUAAGACCAGAAUUUAGAAAAAAUCUUCUUUUAAGACAAUUUGAUGAAUGUUGAAUGUACCCAAAGUAUAAGCAAAUAUGUAUUAAAAACAUUGUUUUACUGAA